Molecule: long non-coding RNA, 364 nt
Organism: Tarenaya hassleriana
Lineage: Eukaryota; Viridiplantae; Streptophyta; Magnoliopsida; Brassicales; Cleomaceae
Exons: 2
Source: RefSeq, a predicted model, not a curated record
GAUGGACUCAUAAGAAAAAGGGUUUUGUUCAGCUUUGCCUUAUAUAGGAAGUUGAAUGGAAAAGGGCUAACCAGAGGAAGAUAAUUAAGUGUCUGACUAUAUGUUGAAGGGGAGCCUUGGCGCACCGGUUAAGGUGUUGUCGUUGUGACCUAGAGGUCACGGGUUCGAGUCCUGGAUGUAAGGUUAAGGUGUUGUCGUUGUGACCCUUUCCCGAACCCUCGUUCAAUAGGAACGCUUUGUGCACGGGGUUGCCCUAGUGUCUGACUAUAUGUUGUGGCACAAGGUUUACAGAUGUGAUUAUCCGACAUAAGUACAUGUGAAAUGCUUAACCUUUUAUGUUCUAAGAAGAUUAUUGCCUUUUAUA